RNAcentral lists this long non-coding RNA (5955 nucleotides) under Drosophila guanche. Lineage: Eukaryota; Metazoa; Arthropoda; Insecta; Diptera; Drosophilidae. The record is from RNAcentral.
CUAUUAGCGAUCAGCUGCUCGCAAAAAGCAAAGCAGAGUGCGAAAAUGGGAAAAUUGUUAUUGCCGUCCCAAAGAAGAGAGCGCGAAGGCUGUGAGGCUGUCUCUACCUGUGUGUAUUUGUGCGGGUGUAGUUUAAAUAUAUUUUCUUAUCUUAUCUAAUCAUCUAUAAAAGUUAAGUCAGCUGGCAAACUAAAUUGAAUUUUAUACCCGGUACUCGAAGAGUAAAUAGGGUAUAUUGGAUUUGUGCACAAAGUGAAUGUAUGUAACUCACAAAAGGAAACGUUUCCGACCCCAUAAAGUAUAUAUAUUCUUGAUCAGCAUCAUUAGCCGAAUCGAUUGAGACCGGAUCUCAAAGACCAUAAAAGCUAGAGACACAAAAUUGUGCACUUCUGUAUUCUAACACAGUUAAAAGUGUAUUUAAAAAAUUAGCCCCGCUUCCUUCCGAACCAGCAAAACGGCGAAAACCCAGAUAUCUGGGAUAUAACUCUGUAACAAGUGUAUUUAAAAAUUUCGCAACGCCCCCUUCCGACCAAACAAAGGGAAAAAAGGAACAAUUUCUUCUGAAGAUAAGAUAAAACUAAAAAUACAGUUCCGUAGGGAAUGACCAUAUCCAUCAGAAAACCGUAUUGGAAUCAGAUUGAGUCAAUAAUAUAGCCAGACUGAAGAAAUGUAUUUGCAGUGGCUAAACCCACCCUGUCCAGCAGCUUUGCUUGUUCUAGUUUUUUGUUGCUCAUGCUUUCUUGCUCGUACACUCUGCGUCAUGCUGUUUGCGUCACUGGGGGACGUCUGCAAGCUAAAAGGCGGGAGAAGUAAUGUAGAUGACAGGUGUCAUCCGAGUCUGGUAUCAUCUACACCUGUCGUCUAGAUCUACAUACAUAUGUAGAAUGUAAAACGAGAAGGGUCGUGUGAGACGCAUCUUACGCGUCACAACAUUUAUACCAAUUACUCAGUCAGUGGACCUGAACCAUGUUGUUUUUUUUUCCAAUUUGACAUUUUACAUUUUUUCUACACCUGUCAUCUACAUCUACAUCUACAUCUUCAUAACUCCUCACGCCAACACGCUAUUUUCGCUCGCCCCUUCACCCCUAGAGCCGUACACUGCAGAGUCACGGCAGAGGCAGAGGCCGCACACUGCAGAAGCAGAGUGUGAAUGAGAGAAAGUGAAAAAAACAACAAAAGCUGCUGGACAGGGUGGGUUUAGCCACUGUAAAUUCAUUUAUUCAUUGUGGCUAUAAUAAUGAUCCAAUCGGAUCUGAUAUGGUAAUUGCGUACGGAAUGGCGUUUUUAGUUUUAGCUCAACAAGACGGACGGACGGACAGACAGACAUGGCUUUAUCGACUCAGCUAUUGAUGCUGAUUAAGAUUAUAUAUACUUUGUGGGGUAGAAAACGUUUCCUUCUGUGCGUUACAUACAUUCAUUUUGUGCACAAAAAUAUGGUCAUUCCCUAGUGAAUGGCGUAUUUAGUUUUCUUUUAUCUUUCAAAUUGUAGAUUUGGGAGGUUUUCGCCCUUUUGUUGGGGCAAAAGGGGGCGGGGCUCAUUUUUGAAAUACACUUGUAACAGUGUGAGCAUACAGAAGUCUGGAUGCUACAUUUGGUGGCUCUAGCUGUUAAAGUCUCUGAGUACUAGGCGCUCAUCAGGACGGACAGACGGAGAGACGGACGGACAGACAGACAUGGCUCAAUCGACUUUAUAUACUUUAUGGGGUCGGAAAUGUUUCCUUCUGUGUGUUAAAUACUCCUCGUUUUAUAUACAACUAUAUAUAUUUUAAAUCAGAAAUAUUUCAAAUAUCUAUUAACAUCUGAAUAAUCUAUAUAUAUAAAAGAAAGUCGUAUUUUGUUAAACACUUAUAACUCGAGAACGGCUGGACAGAUUGCCAUGGUUUUUGAUUUGUUGGAUUUGUUUCCGUCGCAGAAUACAUCAGAAAACAACUUAUGGCCUGUUUGUUGCGGCCAUAAGGCCAAAACUUUAUUUUUUUCUGAGGAUAUCAUGUGUGUGUUCAGAAAUUUGUCUAAAAAGUUAAUUUGUUCAUUUGUUGUUCAUUUCUAUUUGUUUAAUCAUAUUUAAUAUUUGUUUUAUUUAUUUGUUUAAUUUUGUAUUAAUCAUUUUAAUAACAAUGCCGCGUCCUAGAAGAUCCAAUCUUUCCCAGCGAAGCCGUAAUGCAAUUAGGCAACGGAAUAUCGCGAGUCAAUUAUCUGAAAUUGCACGAGAACAGCGCCGCGUUAAUAUGGAGCAAAGAAGGGCCUUAAUUCGUGCUUCUCAAACACAAGAGCAAAGAGAGAGAAAUCGUCGAGCUUAUGGUACAGAAGAACAGAUGAAUAAUCUUCGAAGUGCAAGAAGAAAUGGUUUGAAUCGAGCAGCGUUUCUGUAUGAUUGCACCAUCCACUACAGCUUGCAUCGUUUAGUUUGCAUUGGUCCAAUGGACGUUGUUUGCCAGCACUGUGGAGCAUUGAAGUUUGCUGGUAAAACGCCUGGUUUGUGCUUCCUUAGUGGUAAAGUGAAAUUGCCAUUAUUAGUCCCGCCACCAGAGCCAUUGUGCUCCCUGCUUUAUGGCGAAUUCUAAUUUAGUAGAGAGUAGCUGUAAGAGUAUUUAACCUAUUACGGGUUCUAAAAUAAAAUUUUUACUGCAUUUGUUUCAGGUGAGGAAACUACCAAGAAGGUUAGUUCGAUGGUUCGUGAAAAUUCUGACAAUUAUUUGUUGCGAUUUCUUCGACUGCUUCAACAAUAUUGCGUUGACAUGUACGUUAAAAUCGAAACGGAGCGCCUGACUUUCAUUCGGUUGAGUCAAGCUAAGUUGCGUUCAGAGGAGUAUACCCAUUUACGAGAUGCAAUUAGCACAGAAGGAGAUUCAGAAAAUGUUGGUCGAUUGACUAUUUUACCGGCGACAUACAUAGGUAGCCCGCGUCAUUUGCAUGAAUAUGCGCAAGAUGCAAUGACAUACGUUCGUCAUUAUGGUCGGUCAGAUAUAUUCAUUACAUUUACAUGUAAUCCGAAGUGGAUAGAAAUUAUUCACUUGCUGCUUCGCGGACAAACAUCAAGUGUCAAGGUCACUAAUGAAUUACAUUGUUAAGCAACACGUCUUUGGGAAUACUCGAUGCUGGAUGUAUUCAAUCGAAUGGCAAAAACGAGGCCUACCGCAUGCUCACAUUCUGAUUUGGUUAGUCGAAAGAAUUCGGCCAGAUCAAAUAGAUGACAUCAUAUGUGCGGAGAUUCCUGCUCCUGAAACCGAUCAAUUUGCGAUUUGUUAAAGCGAUGCGUUCGCACGAACUUUGUUUUACUCAGAAAUUCCACGUUAUUACACUUGGAAUGCUACAUCGAAGAAAUUUCAACGUCGGAAGCAAGGCGAUGCAGUUCCUGGUCAUCCAGAUAUGCGUUCUACUGAUGCUCUUGGUCGUAUUUACACAGUUCAUCCGAAGAAUGAUGAAUGUUUUUAUUUACGGUUGUUUCUGGUACAUGUUCGAGGGCCAACAUCAUUUGAAUCACUGCGAACUGUUAAUGGUAUCGUGUGCCCCACAUUUCAAGAGCCAAGAGCUAAAUUUGCUUGAAAACGAUACUCAUUGGGACACGACAAUCGCUGAAGCAAUUAUUUCUGCAUCUCCAAGUCAGAUACGCACAUUAUUUGCUAUCAUCAUUUCAACAUGCUUCCAUGUUCCAUGCUUACAUGUCCGAAGAUAUUUUACAUCGAAUUCGCGUCAGCUCAAGAAAUUACGAUCUUGAGGUGAAUGAGGAGAUCCAUAACCAGACUUUGCUCUUGAUCGAAGAAAUGUGUUACCUCAUGUGCGGCAGUUUGUUAGUUAGGUUAGGAAUGCCAGCGCCAGAUCGCGGAAUGAAUGACGCAUUUAAUAGAGAAUUGGAACGUGCACAUGAAUAUGAUCCACAUGAACUAAUCCAAUCAGUUCAAACGAAUGUACCUCUGUUGAAUCCUAAGCAGAGGGAAGUCUAUGAUACACUGAUUAAUGCAAUUGAUGAUGGAAAUGGUGGUUCCCCCGGUGGAACUGGGAAGACAUUCCUCAUGUCAUUGAUUUUGGCCACUGUACGUGCGAGAUCCGAAAUUGCGGUAGCAAUUGCUUCUUCUGGAAUAGCGGCCACAUUGUUAGACGGAUGCCGUACGGCUCACUCAGCGUUAAAAUUGCCAUUAAACCUUCAAACUACUGAACAACCGACAUGUAACAUUUCGAAAAACUCCGCAAUGGACAAAGUUUUAGUAUCAUCAAAAAUCAUCAUAUGGGACGACUGCACAAUGGCUCACAAACGCGCAUUGGAAGCACUAGACCGAACAUUAAAAGAUCUGCGCAAUGACUCGAGAUGUUUUGGUGGUGCAAUGAUUUUAUUAUCCGGCGAUUUCCGACAAACACUACCAGUCAUUCCUAGAUCUACUGCUGCAGACGAAAUAAACGCUUGCCUCAAAGUAUCAAAUCUGUGGCGAUAUGUAAAGAAACUUCAACUGUCUGUAAAUAUGAGAGUUGCAUUGUUGAACGAUCUAUCUGCAAUCUGCGAUCUCAAAGCAAUUGCUGACUAUCGGUAAUGGCAGUGUUCCUGUUGACAAAUCGAGCGGUUUGAUUUCAUUUCCUAGAAAUUUUUGCAAUUUCGUAUCAUCAGAAGACGAGCUUAUCAACAAAGUAUUCGCGGAUUUCAUUGCUAACCACAAAAAUACUAAAUGGUUAAGUGAGCGAGCAAUUUUGGUCGCUAAAAAUAAAGAUGUAGAUGACCUCAAUCUUAUAAUUCAAAAUCAAAUCGUAGGUACUCUAUAUUCAUUCAAAUCUAUUGAAUGUGUAACAAACGAAGAAGAAGCCACUAAUUAUCCAACUGAAUUUUUAAACUCCUUGGAUGUGCCUGGUUUACCACCGCACAAUUUAAAACUUAAAGUUGGCUCGAUAGUCAUCAUGCUUAGAAAUUUAAACCAACCAAAACUGUGUAAUGGAGCGCGUUUGGAAAUAAGAAAACUGAUGAGCAAUGUGAUUCACGCGUCGAUAUUUAAAGGAAAAUUUAAAGAUGAGGAAGUUCUUAUUCCAAGGAUUCCGAUGAUCCCAACGGAUAUGCCCUUUGAGUUUAAACGAAUUCAAUUCCCGAUUCGUCUUGCCUUCGCCAUGACGAUCAACAAAUCACAGGGCCAAUCCUUGACUAUUUGUGGCCUAAAACAUUCAUUUUCUAUGUUUUUCUCAUGGUCAAUUGUACGUGGCAUGCUCACGUGUCGGCAAACCAUCCGCUUUAUUUGUUCUUGCGCCUGACCAAAAAACAAAGAAUGUCGUUUACCACAAAGUGCUUGAAUGAAAAUCCUAUUACCAUCGCAUUGGAUCAUUGCAACCUAUAGAAGAUGCUCAGCAUAAAUUCUUGCAAAUAUACUUCAUAGGCAAUAUGCAAGAACAACUUGACAGGCGUCAAAAGAUCAACACAGCUACGAAGAGGGCAAUUCUCCAAGAUCUACAGCAAAUGCUUCAUGAACAUCAUGCAUUGGUCAGGCUGUUCAAGACUGCUUUAGAGCGCAUGCCAAGUGAUUGCAAUUCGGUCAAGUCAAUUAAAUACAUUUGCAAAUAUGUCAUGAAAGGGAGCGACAUGGCGGUUUUUGGUAUCCAAACAUCCAAUACCAACGAUGAAAUCACGCGCUAUCAAGUUGGUACUUUUUUGUUUCUAUUUCUAUAAACAUAUUAUUUUGUAUCAUUGUUUUACGUUCAUCAAAGCCUAAAUUAGUUCAGCUAAAAAGUAUCACGACAUUCAUUGACUGUUAGGCGGUGCGAAGUUCGCCGGGUCAACUAGUUAUAAAUAUUUAUAAAAUUAAUAAAACAUAAACAAAUAACUAUAAAAUAAGUCCGCUGAAGUCCCUUGUUUCUCGGUCUAAAAAUAUUGAUUGUAAUGUAGAACUAAUCCUGGUGAACAAUUUAGUAAAUAAAGAAGUCUUCUAUAAUACGAUUUUUGUCAAAAUAAAGACAAUUUGUGUGGCGAAAAAAUAUAUACUCACC